Transfer RNA from Anaerococcus lactolyticus ATCC 51172, 87 nucleotides. It matches the Rfam family "tRNA". Rfam says of the family: Transfer RNA (tRNA) molecules are approximately 80 nucleotides in length. Their secondary structure includes four short double-helical elements and three loops (D, anti-codon, and T loops). Lineage: Bacteria; Bacillati; Bacillota; Tissierellia; Tissierellales; Peptoniphilaceae. The record is from Rfam.
GGAGAGGUACCGAAGCGGUCAUAACGGGGCGGUCUUGAAAACCGUUAGAGUCAUUGGCUCACAAGGGUUCGAAUCCCUUCCUCUCCG